AGCACUUGUGUGUGCCUCCUUGUUUGCUUUGUAAAGAAGCAACAUAGAGAUGGAAACAGUAAAUCCUCUUUUGCAACCCAGAUCUCCUUGUUGAGUAUGAGUUUUUGGUACUUGUAAGAAGGAAUAUG
Molecule: small nucleolar RNA, 128 nt
Organism: Perognathus longimembris pacificus (Pacific pocket mouse)
Lineage: Eukaryota; Metazoa; Chordata; Mammalia; Rodentia; Heteromyidae
Product: small nucleolar RNA SNORA40
Exons: 1
Source: RefSeq, a predicted model, not a curated record